AUUGAACGCUGGCGGCAGGCUUAACACAUGCAAGUCGAGCGGGGUGAUGGUGCUUGCACUAUCACUUAGCGGCGGACGGGUGAGUAAUGCUUAGGAAUCUGCCUAUUAGUGGGGGACAACAUCUCGAAAGGGAUGAUAAUACCGCAUACGUCCUACGGGAGACAGCAGGGGAUGACUGGUGACCUUGCGGUAAUAGAUGAGCCUAAGUCGGAUUAGCUAGUUGGUGGGGUAAAGGCCUACCAAGGCGACGAUCUGUAGCGGGUCUGAGAGGAUGAUCCGCCACACUGGGACUGAGACACGGCCCAGACUCCUACGGGAGGCAGCAGUGGGGAAUAUUGGACAAUGGGGGGAACCCUGAUCCAGCCAUGCCGCGUGUGUGAAGAAGGCCUUAUGGUUGUAAAGCACUUUAAGCGAGGAGGAGGCUCUUUUGGUUAAUACCCAAGAUGAGUGGACGUUACUCGCAGAAUAAGCACCGGCUAACUCUGUGCCAGCCGCCGCAGUAA
This 503-nucleotide ribosomal RNA is filed under the name uncultured bacterium. RNAcentral describes it as "partial 16S ribosomal RNA". It matches the Rfam family "Bacterial small subunit ribosomal RNA", at positions 30 to 523 of the family's 1533-position model. The record is from RNAcentral.